UACGUAGGGUGCGAGCGUUGUCCGGAAUUAUUGGGCGUAAAGAGCUCGUAGGCGGUCUGUCGCGUCGAAUGUGAAAACCCGGGGCUCAACUCCGGGCUUGCAUUCGAUACGGGCAGGCUAGAGUUCGGUAGGGGAGUCUGGAAUUCCUGGUGUAGCGGUGAAAUGCGCAGAUAUCAGGAGGAACACCGGUGGCGAAGGCGGCUUCUUGGGCCGUUUCUGACGCUGAGGCGCGAAAGCCAGGGGAGCGAACAGG
Molecule: ribosomal RNA, 253 nt
Filed under: uncultured bacterium
Lineage: Bacteria
Description: partial 16S ribosomal RNA
Rfam family: Bacterial small subunit ribosomal RNA
Source: RNAcentral